Xenopus laevis (African clawed frog) is the source of this 1645-nucleotide long non-coding RNA. RefSeq lists it as uncharacterized. NCBI's taxonomy places the organism in Eukaryota, Metazoa, Chordata, Amphibia, Anura, Pipidae. The transcript has 4 exons. The record is from RefSeq and is a predicted model, not a curated record.
AAGCGUUUCGUCUUGCUGAGGGCGGUGCCCCUGGGCCUCUUCCUUAAUGUGAGGAGUUAUUACUACUUUCUUGAGAACCUUGAUUCAUUUUUUUCAUACAAUUGUAAGGACCUUUUGCCUUACUCCCUUAGGCUGACAGUGUAAGGCAACCCUCUCAUCCCUCACAAAGUCCCUCUGCCUUCUGUAGUGGGUGGUGCACAGAUAGUCUGGAAAGCAAUUGGACUUCAAGUCCCAGAAGCCAUCAUUUCACAAUGUAACAAGGUGAGGGAGGGGCUGAAUUACACUGUGAGCCUAAGGGGGCAGGGGCACUAAUCCUAUGGAGCAUAGAGACAGACAGUGAUAGUUUCUGAUCUGUGAAAUCCAGUAUAUCUGUGUAAACAAUACAGUUGAAUUCAUUUCUGAAACUUCAGAUAGUGUUUAUUCACCUUUUCCACAUAACCUCAACUGAGAAACCACAGUGAGAAAUCCAAAGCUGUUUAUUAAACAUCCACUAAAUAUAAAAUAUGAUGAAUAGAAUUGUAUUUUUUAAUACCCAUACACUAAAGCUUUAAUAGGGGGACAGUCAUUUCUACACUAAAAAUGUUUGGUAUACCUAAACCUCGAAAUCACCAAAUGAUUUGUUUUCCUCCAAAAAAAACACAUUGCAUCUCUCUAGCAAGCAUAGUGUUGUUAACCUGUCAUUUGUAGCAAUAAAAUGAAUAUGUUAACACAGCCAGUAUUGUGAAAUGAGUAGAGGAGCUGCUAUUAUACUGUGGCCCAGCCCUGGAUAUUAGUUGUCUUUUAGGAACUCCCUAUAACACAGUGAAGAGUCAUAUUCACCCCACACCCUUUAGGAAGCAGGACUUCCUGGGUGAUUGUGCAGAAGAAAGGACAGUAGAACGUGGAAUCUGCACACUUUCACUGUCAGGGUUUUGCUUUAAAGCUGAUGAUCUGCUGGGCCAACAAAUCUAUGGCCACGACUUUGGUUUCCAGCCCCAAAAGAAAAGUAACAGUAAACUUUAUUCCUUGUUGUACCUGCUGUUGCCGAAAUAGAUUUCGCCAAUGACAGAUUCCAGGAAAGAGAUGUAGAACUCUGCGUUCAGAUUCAUGUAAUGCCCAACCAUUUGUACUGCUCCCCUACUAAGAGCCGCUUCUUCCACCAGAAUUCUUUGAUACUGGCCCACUUAUCUUACAAAGUCAAUUGAACUAAAAGUUGGGGUACGGUAAGCUAUGAAUAUUCACAGUUUUUUGGACAUUAUGAAGGGUUGCUUCUACUGUUUGGACGUGUAACUUGGAGUACCUAACGAGUGGAAGAAGGAAGCACUUGGCAGCACUUACAAAUUAAUUAUACUAAUUUACAGGGGUGGAGCUGUAAGGUGGGGUUGGUUUUAUAAGGUGUGUUUGUAUUUUUGUAUUUCACUUGAUAAAGGAUCCUUGGGAUCCGAAACAUGUUGUGAUGCAAUAAAUAAUUAUUUGCGGCAGAGACUGCGUCUUAUGUGCUCCAUCCAUACCUUUUGUUUGCUGAAAUUGUCUAUGGGUCUUCUGGUGUGGCCUGACUGGAGAGUGAGCACGAUACACAGGUGAAGGUGACUGAAUUUACUCAAAGUUUGAGCUCAGAUUACAGCAGGGAUGGGAGGAGGGAGGGGGAAAGGAGCAAACUGAGCAU